Perognathus longimembris pacificus (Pacific pocket mouse) is the source of this 142-nucleotide long non-coding RNA. RefSeq lists it as uncharacterized. The record is from RefSeq and is a predicted model, not a curated record. Lineage: Eukaryota; Metazoa; Chordata; Mammalia; Rodentia; Heteromyidae. The transcript is spliced from 3 exons.
UCUAGCCCAGGGCCUCGUGGGGAGGCUGGGCAGGAACCAGGCGGCGCGGCCCCCAGGGCGAUUAGGCAAAGGGCCCCUUCCUGCCGGCCUGUUUGCAUAAACCACCAAGGGCAGCCACCUCCUUCCGGCGGCUGGGCUGGGC